UAUGAUGUCCUUAAUUGGGUGUCUUAUGGAUCCAGGACUUUUACCUUGAAAAAAUUAGAGUGUUUAAAGCAAGCUUAUUGCUCGAAUACAUUAGCAUGGAAUAAUAAAAUAGGACGGCUUGGUUCUAUUUUGUUGGUUUCUAGGAUCACCGUAAUGAUUAAUAGGGAUAGUUGGGGGCAUUAGUAUUCAAUUGUCAGAGGUGAAAUUCUUGGAUUUAUUGAAGACUAACUACUGCGAAAGCAUUUGCCAAGGAUGUUUUCAUUAAUCAAGAACGAAAGUUAGGGGAUCGAAGACGAUCAGAUACCGUCGUAGUCUUAACCAUAAACUAUGCCGACUAGGAUUCAGACGAUGUUAAUUUUUUAAUGACUCGUUUGGCACCUUACGGGAAACCAAAGUGUUUGGGUUCCGGGGGGAGUAUGGUCGCAAGGCUGAAACUUAAAGGAAUUGACGGAAGGGCACCACCAGGGGUGGAGCCUGCG
This 479-nucleotide ribosomal RNA is filed under the name uncultured Glomeromycotina. Its description in RNAcentral is "SSU rRNA". It matches the Rfam family "Eukaryotic small subunit ribosomal RNA", at positions 712 to 1187 of the family's 1831-position model. Lineage: Eukaryota; Fungi; Glomeromycota. The record is from RNAcentral.